Sturnus vulgaris (Common starling) is the source of this 1024-nucleotide RNA transcript. It is a transcript of the gene named SET domain containing 9, with no coding region annotated. NCBI's taxonomy places the organism in Eukaryota, Metazoa, Chordata, Aves, Passeriformes, Sturnidae. The record is from RefSeq and is a predicted model, not a curated record.
AUGCUGCGGGAGCUGCGGCGGCGCUGGGGCUCCUACAAGUAUCGCUUCGUGCCCUGGCUCGCCCUCAACCUCCGCCGCCAGCGAAGGACCCUUCGAUAUGUUCCUGAAAGCUCUCAAGACAAAAUUAUUGCUGAUGAAGAUGUCUUUGAAACACUACUGAAAACAUUUAAAGCUCUGUUCAUAAAUGACUUCAGUAGACAAGCAGAUAUUCUGGCCUUACUUCCAGAAGUCAAGAGUCAAUAUCUGGAAUUACUGACUGUGGAGCAGAAGCGGUCAAAAGUAAAUUCUUGUAACCAUCAGGGUCAGCACGUGUUUAGUCCUGAGGAAGUUUUGUUUAACACGCUUGGGUUCACUGUUAGCAGAGACCGGAGUUCCCUGGUGUCUGCUGGAACUGGAGUCUUUGUUACCAAAGGUUUUGUACCGAAAGGGACGGUUGUGUCUAUGUAUCCUGGUACAGUAUACAGAAAGCAUGAGCCCAUCUUUUUCCAGUCCCUUGGCAAUCCCUUUAUUUUUAGGUGCAUUGAUGGUGUCCUUAUUGAUGGGAAUGAUAAAGGACUGUCAAGAUCAGUGUACAGGUCUUGCAGCAGAAGAGAUCAACUUGGCCCUUUUCAAAUGAGUGAUGAGAGCUGGCUCACAGCCACCCCGCAAAACCCACUGGCAGUGGGACAGUAUGUCAACAACUGCUCACAUGAAAAAGCAGCAAACGUGUGUUAUCAAGAGUUUGAUGUGCCGGGACAUUUUCCAGUAGAACUGAAACAAUAUCUUCCAAACAUCGUCUACAGCCAUGAUGUAGAGAGGUUGGCAGCAAAUGAAAGAGCUCGUAGAUUUGUAUGAUACAAAGCAUAUUGCAUGUGUAAAGAAAAGACAGACAUGGUUGAAAAAUAACAAACCAUAUGAAGAUGAGUUACACAAGUGUGCAACUGUAUGAGAGAGUUACCUCUCUGAAUAGAGAGCCACUUGAGAUGUGUAGUCCUUGUCACUCUCAGAGACAUCAAGCAAGGAGAAGAACUUUUUUCAAAUUACU